AGAACGAACGCUGGCGGCAUGCCUAACACAUGCAAGUCGAACGAGACCUUCGGGUCUAGUGGCGCACGGGUGCGUAACGCGUGGGAAUCUGCCCUUGGGUUCGGAAUAACAGUUGGAAACGACUGCUAAUACCGGAUGAUGACGUAAGUCCAAAGAUUUAUCGCCCAGGGAUGAGCCCGCGUAGGAUUAGCUAGUUGGUGAGGUAAAGGCUCACCAAGGCGACGAUCCUUAGCGUGGUCUGAGAGGAUGAUCAGCCACACUGGGACUGAGACACGGCCCAGACUCCUACGGGAGGCAGCAGUGGGAAUAGUUGGACAAUGGGCGCAAGCCUGAUCCAGCAAUGCCGCGUGAGUGAUGAAGGCCGUUAGGGUUAGUAAGCUUCUUUUACCCGAG
RNAcentral lists this ribosomal RNA (393 nucleotides) under uncultured soil bacterium. RNAcentral's name for it is "bacterial SSU rRNA". It matches the Rfam family "Bacterial small subunit ribosomal RNA", at positions 26 to 444 of the family's 1533-position model. The record is from RNAcentral.